UGCCAGCGGACGAAAAGUUCCGCAACCCUCGAUCCAAAAUUCACGGGAGCCCUCUUCCCACUUCCCUCGCGAUUGCAUCUCAUAUAACAGAAAAAAAAGGAUUUUUGCUCACGAUCUCCCCGGCGAGAUCCAUCGGCGCCGGUCGCCAUGCGCUCCUCCCGCACGCUACUCCCCGGCUAGGGCACAAGUGCGACGGCGCCGCGCCGGCAGGGCAGCAGCUUGAUGCCACCGCGCAUGCAGGAUUGCAGCUUGACACCUCCGCGCCGCCGCGUCGCCUUGGCCACGGCGAACGGCCCAAUCCGGCCGCGUGGCCACCACAUCCUGCACCGACCGACGAUGCCGCGUCUCCUACCCCGAAUUAGUUACUGGAAACUAUUCAUCCAUUGGGGUUGGUGCUGCUUUGGGUCGGCAGGAUAAUGUGAAGAAGAAGCACUGACAACUUCAUUAUGAGUCAAAGCUUCUGCUACAGUGAUGGUGAAUUGAGUUAUGUUGCUUCUUUUUCUUUCCUGAAGUUGGCAUUCCACACUUGAAGUGGUUUGGCGUGGCGGGGAGAGUACAGUGUGAUGGUGAUUGAUCUUCUUGGAAAAUACUAUAAGAUUUGUUCAACUACUGCCGUACAAGGUUUUCUUUGAAGACUGUGCUCCACUGAUCAGAUGACUAAUGAAUCCGACGACAUGCAUUCAAAGGGAAUUUCUUCAUCGUGAUAUAAAAUAAAACCUAAUAAUGUUCUUAUGGGACUUGGUAGGAAAGCCAAUCAGGUUUGCAUUUAUAUAUAUCUAGGUAUUUGCUAAUAAAUUCUACAAUCUUGACUCCAUCUUGUUUGAAGGCAAAUGUUGUUGAUGUGUUCUGUUACUAAAACACAGUGCCUAAAGACUUAUGGUUUUUGUUCCUGAAACAAGGUCCAAGAACGAGGCUGCAGUACAGAAACAUAAAUUGACUGCUAAAUUACUGCAAUAGCUCCAUCGUGAUUUAUUUGGAUACUUGGUCAGUUGGUCUAUAUACAUUUCACUAAUCAUAUUCACAUGGCACAUGAUUCAUAUUUUUAUUGUAUUUGACGGCUUCAAUUCCUUAAUCUCUAUUUACAUUAAUUUAUCAUAAGACAAAUCUUAAGGUGUUUUCAUGGACUAUUUAACUUUACAUGUCUGUCGAACAUCAAAAUAUGCGGGUGCUAAGAACUGAGUAGGUCAUUAUUAUUUGUGCAUUGUGGUACCAAAGAAGCACUAUACCUUGCUCAUUUCGAAAUGUUGUUUAAUCUGUUAGGCUAACACAGCCUAUUUACAUCGUUGACGUUUUCAUUGAUUUAUGAACCAGCCUUUAUCUAUAUUUGGUAGUUGCAGCCUUGCAAGUAUACCAAGUUGAUAGUGAAUACAUCUUCAAAAUCUGUGCUAAUUGUUCACUUUAUUUGGCAAGUCAUGUGUUAUAGUGCUAGGAACAAAAUCUAAUACUAUAUUUCUGCGCAGGUGGAUGUUCGUAGCAACAUGUGUUUUGGAGGGAUUCAUCAGGCUUGUCCAAAUGACCUUCUCUAUACAAAGGAAUUUUUUUUUGUUCUAAAAUUGCGUUGUAAUGUCAUAUUUAGUCUUUUUCUUAUAUACUGUGUUAGACUAAAAUCUUUUGGCGAUGAUGCUUCCGA
Long non-coding RNA from Lolium perenne, 1630 nucleotides. RefSeq lists it as uncharacterized. The record is from RefSeq and is a predicted model, not a curated record. Lineage: Eukaryota; Viridiplantae; Streptophyta; Magnoliopsida; Poales; Poaceae.